GACGAACGCUGGCGGCGUGCUUAACACAUGCAAGUCGAACGGAAAGGCCCUGCUUUUGUGGGGUGCUCGAUUGGCGAACGGGUGAGUAACACGUGAGUAACCUGCCCUUGACUUUGGGAUAACUUCAGGAAACUGGGGCUAAUACCGGAUAGGAGCUCCUGCUGCAUGGUGGGGGUUGGAAAGUUUCGGCGGUGGGGGAUGGACUAGCGGCUUAUCAGCUAGUUGGUGGGGUAGUGGCUUACCAAGGCUUUGACGGGUAGCCUGCCUGAGAGGGUGGACGGCGACAUUGGGACUGAGAGACGGAGCAGAAUCCUACGGGCGGCAGCAGGGGGGAAUAUGGCAGAGUGGGGGGAAGCGUGAUGCAGCGACGCCGCGAGCGGGAUGACGGCCUUCGAGUUAUAAACAGAUUUCGCAUGUGACGAAGCGUGAGUGACGGUAAUGGGUAAAGAAGCACCGGCUAACUACGUG
This 468-nucleotide ribosomal RNA is filed under the name uncultured bacterium. RNAcentral's name for it is "partial 16S ribosomal RNA". It matches the Rfam family "Bacterial small subunit ribosomal RNA", at positions 28 to 507 of the family's 1533-position model. The record is from RNAcentral.